AAGCCGGUGGCACAGUGGUGAAUGCGUGAAGUCCGUUGAAUUUCAGAACACGGUUCGAGCCCGUGUCGGCCGG
Molecule: non-coding RNA, 73 nt
Organism: Coniochaeta sp. 2T2.1
Lineage: Eukaryota; Fungi; Ascomycota; Sordariomycetes; Coniochaetales; Coniochaetaceae
Source: the annotation of a GenBank genome assembly